GGGUCGCUAGCUCAAUUGGCAGAGCAACUGGCUCUUAACCAGUAGGUUGUGGGUUCGAUUCCCACGCGACCCA
RNAcentral lists this transfer RNA (73 nucleotides) under Acidimicrobiia bacterium. RNAcentral's name for it is "tRNA-Lys". It matches the Rfam family "tRNA". From Rfam's summary of the family: Transfer RNA (tRNA) molecules are approximately 80 nucleotides in length. Their secondary structure includes four short double-helical elements and three loops (D, anti-codon, and T loops). The record is from RNAcentral. Lineage: Bacteria; Bacillati; Actinomycetota; Acidimicrobiia.